Molecule: ribosomal RNA, 237 nt
Filed under: uncultured bacterium
Lineage: Bacteria
Description: partial 16S ribosomal RNA
Rfam family: Bacterial small subunit ribosomal RNA
Source: RNAcentral
GAUCCUGGCUCAGGAUGAACGCUGGCGGCGUGCCUAACACAUGCAAGUCGAACGAAGCACCUUACCUGAUUCUUCGGAUGAAGGUCUGGUGACUGAGUGGCGGACGGGUGAGUAACGCGUGGGUAACCUGCCCUGUACAGGGGGAUAACAGCUGGAAACGGCUGCUAAUACCGCAUAAGCGCACGAGGAGACAUCUCCUUGUGUGAAAAACUCCGGUGGUACAGGAUGGGCCCGCGU